UACGUAGGGGGCAAGCGUUGUCCGGAAUUAUUGGGCGUAAAGAGCGCGUAGGCGGUCUGAUAAGUCGGUUGUGAAAGUCGGGGGCUCAACCCUCGGAUGCCGAUCGAUACUGUCAGGCUAGAGUCCGGAAGAGGCGAGUGGAAUUCCUGGUGUAGCGGUGAAAUGCGCAGAUAUCAGGAGGAACACCAAUGGCGAAGGCAGCUCGCUGGGACGGUACUGACGCUGAGGCGCGAAAGCCAGGGGAGCGAACGGG
Molecule: ribosomal RNA, 253 nt
Filed under: uncultured bacterium
Lineage: Bacteria
Description: partial 16S ribosomal RNA
Rfam family: Bacterial small subunit ribosomal RNA
Source: RNAcentral